UACGUAGGGUGCGAGCGUUAAUCGGAUUCACUGGGCGUAAAGGGCGCGUAGGCGGCCUUGCAAGUGGCGGGUGAAAUCCCUCGGCUUAACCGAGGAACUGCCUGCCAGACUGCAAGGCUCGAGACCGGGAGAGGUGAGUGGAAUUCCCAGUGUAGCGGUGAAAUGCGUAGAUAUUGGGAGGAACACCAGUGGCGAAGGCGGCUCACUGGACCGGAACUGACGCUGAGGCGCGAAAGCGUGGGGAGCAAACAGG
RNAcentral lists this ribosomal RNA (253 nucleotides) under uncultured bacterium. Its description in RNAcentral is "partial 16S ribosomal RNA". It matches the Rfam family "Bacterial small subunit ribosomal RNA", at positions 524 to 776 of the family's 1533-position model. The record is from RNAcentral.